AUACGGAGGAUCCGAGCGUUAUCCGGAUUUAUUGGGUUUAAAGGGUGCGCAGGCGGCCGUUUAAGUCAGCGGUUAAAUCGUGGGGCUCAACCCCAUUCUGCCGUUGAUACUGGGUGGCUUGAUUGCGGUCGAGGUUGGCGGAAUUCGUUGUGUAGCGGUGAAAUGCAUAGAUAUGACGAAGAACACCGAUUGCGUAGGCAGCAGACCAGACCGCAAAUGACGCUCAUGCACGAAAGUGCGGGGAUCGAACAGGAUUAGAUACCCUGGUAGUCCGCACAGUAAACGAUGAAUACUUGUUUUCGGCGAUAUAAUGUCGGAGGCAAAGCGAAAGCGAUAAGUAUUCCACCUGGGGAGUACGCCGGCAACGGUGAAACUCAAAUGAAUUGACGGGG
Molecule: ribosomal RNA, 392 nt
Filed under: uncultured bacterium
Lineage: Bacteria
Description: partial 16S ribosomal RNA
Rfam family: Bacterial small subunit ribosomal RNA
Source: RNAcentral